This 1934-nucleotide long non-coding RNA is filed under the name Salmo salar (Atlantic salmon). Its description in RNAcentral is "lncRNA (ENSSSAG00000082883.1)". The record is from RNAcentral. Lineage: Eukaryota; Metazoa; Chordata; Actinopteri; Salmoniformes; Salmonidae.
UAUGGUUUUGGUGACCCUGUCUUUGACUUGACAAAACAUUACACACAACUCUUGUAAAUGUACUGUCCUAACAUACUCUAAAUUUAUGCUUUCGCCGUAAAACCUUUUUGAAAUCGUAAAACGUGGUUAGAUUAAGGAGAUGUUUAUCUUUCAAAUGGUGUAACAUAGUUGUAUUUUUGAAAAAUUUGAAUUUUGACAUUUAUUUGGAUUCAAAUUUGCCGCUCUUGAAAUGCACCUGCUGUUGAUGGAGUGCACCACGGGUGGCACGCUAGCGUCCCACCUAGCCCCAAGAGGUUAAGAGGUGAUGACCACUCCACUCCACUACCAUUGUCAACUCUUUCUUGACUUGAACUGAAGCCACGUCUCAUGUGCCCUUUCAUCCACUGGCACAUUGAAUGUUUCCUCUCCAAUCACUUCAAAUCCUGUCCUGCACUGAAGUCAAGCCUCUGAACACCUCUACUCAUGCCUCAUACCCUCAUUCAAUCACUGCUGGGAUCCCUUUCCAAAACUGGGCAUCUUCUUCGUGGAGAAAAAGGACAAGACCCUGUGCCCGUGCAUUGACUACUAAGCGACAUUACGGUUAAGAACCGUUACCCGCUUCCACUCAUCUCCUCGGCCUUCGAGCCGCUCCAGGGGGCCACUGUGUUUUCCAAGCUGGAUCUACGGAACGCCUACCACCUAAUGCGGAUACGAGAAGGGGAUGAGUGGAAGACCACCUUCAACACAGCCAGUGGCCACUACGAGUAUCUGGUCAUGCCCUUUGACCUCACCAAAGCCCCUGCUGUGUUCCAGACUCUGGUGAAUGAUGUUCUCCGCGCCAUGUUGAACCGGUUCGUCUUCGUCUACAUUGAUGACAUCCUUUUCUUCUCCUGCUCCCUCAAGAACAUGUGCUCCAUGUCCGGCAGGUCCUUCAACAGCUUCUGGAGAAUCAGCUGUUUGUGAAGGCGGAAAAGUGCGAGUUCCAUUGCUCCACCAUCCCUUUUCUAGGUUACAUCAUCUCUGCAAGAUGGAUCCCGGGAAGGUGAGAGCUGUGAUGCAUUGGCCUCAGCCUACGUACAGGGUGCAGCUGCAACUUUUCCUGGGGUUCACCAAUUUCUAUCACCGCUUUAUCCGGGGUUACAGCACCCUGGCUUCUGCCCUGUCAGCACUCACCUCGCCCAAGAUUCCAUUCACGUGGUCCCCAGCUGCUGACCGGGCGUUCUGGGAGCGCCCAUCUUGGUUCAUCCGGACCAAUCUCGUCAGUUCAUGGUGGAGGCCGACGCUUCAGACGUCAGAGUGGGGGCUGUCCUGUCCCAGCGUUCUGCCCUUGACCUCAAGCUACAUCCCUACGCCUUCUUCUCCCAUCGCCCAACACCACGGAAAGGAACUACGAUGUGGGGAAUCGGGUGAAGAUGCCGUUGGAGGAAUAGAGGCACUGGCUGGAAGGGGAAGAACAUCCGUUCAUUGUGUGGACUGACCACAAGAACCUGGAGUAUCUCCGCACCGCCAAGCACCUCAACUCCAGGCAAGCCAGAUGGGCCCUGCUGUUCACUCGGUUUCAUCUUUUCCUUAUCGUACCGGCUGGGAUCCAAGAAUGUCAAGCCGGAUGCACUGUCCCACCGCUAUAGCCCCACAACUACUACCCUGGAACCAGAGACCAUCCUUCCCACCUCAUGCCUGGUGACCGAACACAGCUAGGGGAUAGGGAAGCGGGUCCAUGAGGCGCAGUGUCGAUGGCCAUCCGACGUACAUGGUGAGACGCCUCCUGAGGGUUUGACCACGGGGCAUGGGUUUCCAGUACCUGGUUGACUGGGAGGGUUAUGGCCCAGAGGAGAGGUGCUGGGUCCCCGCUAGAGAUAUCCUGGACCCAGCCCUCAUUGCCGACUUCCACCGCCGGCACCCUGGUCAACCAGGUAUUCGCCCAGGUAGGAUGCCAGGUGGUGCCACUAGAGGGG